RNAcentral lists this ribosomal RNA (227 nucleotides) under uncultured beta proteobacterium. RNAcentral describes it as "partial 16S ribosomal RNA". It matches the Rfam family "Bacterial small subunit ribosomal RNA", at positions 980 to 1211 of the family's 1533-position model. Lineage: Bacteria; Pseudomonadati; Pseudomonadota; Betaproteobacteria. The record is from RNAcentral.
CUUGACAUGUCAGGAAGUCCGGAGAGAUCUGGAUGUGCCCGAAAGGGAGCCUGAACACAGGUGCUGCAUGGCUGUCGUCAGCUCGUGUCGUGAGAUGUUGGGUUAAGUCCCGCAACGAGCGCAACCCUUGUCAUUAGUUGCUACGAAAGGGCACUCUAAUGAGACUGCCGGUGACAAACCGGAGGAAGGUGGGGAUGACGUCAAGUCCUCAUGGCCCUUAUGGGUAG